Molecule: long non-coding RNA, 3285 nt
Organism: Diachasmimorpha longicaudata
Lineage: Eukaryota; Metazoa; Arthropoda; Insecta; Hymenoptera; Braconidae
Exons: 2
Source: RefSeq, a predicted model, not a curated record
ACUAGAACCAAACAACGAAACGCACUGACAGAGAAGACAUGUACUGCACGUGGUACACUGGACAUGACAAUAUGCCACAUUAGUAUCAUUGUAUGGGUUUGAUGAUGAAGGUGAUGGCGUGCAUUCGCUGAUUCUGGGGAGAAUAUUGUUUUAAUGUGUGCGUGUGGGUGUGUGGACGAGUGCCGGUGUUAGGUUCGAGGGGGCGAGAUGGAACUUAGUCAUCAAUUUGAUAAACAGGGGAAGUUGUGAUUCGUUGGUCACAGGUGCAAUGACACGUUAUUAUGAGCAUUGUGAGAAAAAGAUGAUGGGCAUUGUUCGGGAGGGAUGAGCAUUAUGUCAUGGCGAGGUGCCGAACACGAGGAAUCAAUUUGAUUUUAGUUAUCCAGGGGACCAAGGUCAUUUCGAAGAUCGUAAGAAGGCCCCAAAAUUUUAGAAUUAAUGAUUAGGGUUUUGAGACUGGAAAUUUUUCGGUUUUAUUUGAGCGUUGAAAAGUGUUUAGAAAGAAAGGAAAAAAUGUAGUUUGGGCUUGAAAAUGUAAAAAUUUUUGGAAAAUAAAUUUAAUUGUUGAUGGAACUAAACAAUUCAUAGUUCAAGAGCUGAGUUUAGAACAUUUUUAUGGAAAAUUUCCAAUUGAAGUGAAUGGAAAAUGCACGUGUGUUGCACAGGCGCAAAGGGAAAUGAAAAUACCUUCGAAAUUGAUUGGAGACAUUUCCUUUGACUACUCCACAAAUGAAUUCAGAUAAAUGAUGAUAGUUUAACAGAUUAAAUAAACUUACCCAGAAAAGUCAGGAUGAUAUUGAUGUUAAUCACUGUUCUGUCCCAUCGAGUGACCGCUUGAAUCACGACUCGUGUAAUUCAACACCAGCUCAUUGCGUCAAAUCCGGACAGUCUAACGCUGUGAGAGCUGUAUAGAAAUCAAUUGCGACUGGAAUUGGAGCCACAUCGCGCGGGAUUAUCCCGUGAUGGUUGGGGAAGUGACGGGAGAUUGUGAGAAAAAUUGAAAUUUCAGGGACAGUUGGCAUGUAAUUUUCAGGAGAACGGCAUUGAGAUCGAUUCACACUGAUAGAAAUUGUGGAACGAUGUAGUUACGGUUAACUAUGCUUCCAGAGUACUAAUGCUAUUGAUUAAAUCAUCAUGAGAUGAACGGCUGCAAAAAAAUAAUAAAAUUUUCAAAAAUAAGGACUACAAAGAGAUGAAUGGGGUUCAUUAAUAAAAACACAAUGACAGCAGGGUUUCACAUAUCUCCCUUUAUUACAAAACUGGAAAAAAAAACAAAAAAAAAAUCUUCUGUGACAGUAACAAACUUUUGGCUUAUGUGACUAGUUAUAAUACUCAGCGGCAAUACUAAAUUAGUGUAAUGUAUACGGUGUGUUGGGAGUGGAAAGGGGAGGAAAUUCUUCGGGAUGAGACCAUGACAAGUGUAAUAAAAAUAAUAAUUGAAAAAAAGUUGAUGAAAGAUUAUUGGCGACUGAAUUGAGACGAAGAUGCCAGUAUCUUUUCCACUACCCACACAAACUAUUCCUCGUGGGUGAAAUAAUUAACCUUGGAAAGAAAAAAUUGGGGAACUGGGGAUAAUAAUUUAACUUAUGGAUUUAAAGGUACAUAAAUAUUAAACUAUUUAUACAAUUAAUUAGUUUGUAGUCUCUGUCUUGGAAGACACGGUAUGGCAGGAUUUUUUGUUUAAUGGGGAAUAAAACUUUUUUUGACGCAAUUGUUCUACAUUGCAGGGUACAAGUGUUUAUGAGUCGAUAUUUAUAGAAAAACUUUUUGAAAACAUUCCAGAAAUUUAUAUUUUUAACAGAAAACGAUAUUCGUAAAAUGCUGUUAUCUUUUGUUUUACUAAAUAAUGUCCGGAUAAAUUAUUUAAAAAAUAUCCUGAGAACUAUAAAUGAAAAGAAUUGUAUUUCUGGACAAAAAAAGUUCUAUUCCUCUCCUACUCUUCUCAACUCUACCCAAAAUUAUAGGGUACAACAUUGCUUCUUGAUGUUGUUUCAGUGGAGAACAAUGAACAGCGGAAGGGACGUCGGAAGGGGAUCUUCAUAUCUUGUAAAGUUUAUGGAAAAAUGUUAAAGAAAAUUAUUGGCAGAAAAAUCAAUUUUCCGCAAGCAAAUUAAUUAACAUUUAUCUCGAAACCUUUGAAUCCCUUCCUGCAGCUCUGAUCUCCACCCUCAAUUACUCAUCUGCAAUUUUUGUAUUAUUUCCUUCCAAAAAAAAUGUUUAAACAAUAAAUUAAAUAAGUUUUAUCUCACACCACCUAUACAGUACACUAACACAACUAAUGAAACAUCUCGCGAGGUACAAGAGCCACGGAUUCUCCACAUAAUUGUUAUUUCAACAUAAAACAUGGGAAUCAGGAUUUUUCUAGUCAGUAAAAAACAGUUCACCUGUUGUUUUUUUUUGUAUAAAAAAUUCUUGUCAACAGUUUCUGCUAUUUGUGGGAUUCACUUUGUCCUAUGGGAAUUGACUUAAUUAAGAUUUACCUAUUUGUUCUAUAGAGAGAGUGUGUAUGUGUAUUUACACGAGACAAUUUUUGAAACCUGUGCGUUUAUCAUUCACUCGUUAAUUAGCCUUUUAGUUGAUUAAAAUUUUGCAAUUUUUUCCCAUCAUUUCGAUUAUUCGUAACCGACUCUUUUUCUUCACUGAAAUUGAAUGAUAUGUGAUGGCAGGUAAUCGAGAGGAAAGUAACAAUAAGUUCUUGUGAUUUAGUAAUAUACAAAAUCCAAUCAUGUCACUCAAUUAUUAAUUGUCAACUCGCUCGUGACAAUUGCUUUCCAUUCAUGCGAUUCGACCUAAACGUAAUAUUAAUUUUCAAAUUGGACCGACAACAGAAGGUUCAUCGUUUCCAUCUAUUCCGAGUUAUUUUUUAAAUUAAUAAAAUACAAUGACAAUUCCUGCCUUAAGGCACCGAGUGGCCGUUGUGGUUCUUAUCAAACUUAAGGUAAACUGACUAUGAUUAAAAUAUAUUAUAUCGUUUUUACAUCAUAAUUGUGAUAUACGUCUAUAAAUUCUGAUUUUUUUUCUCGCGAAUUUUCUAUAUUCAGUAGUAUUUUACAAUCUUUGCAAAUCAUUUCGUUAACAUUACGCUGGUUUUUCUGGGAUUUAGUCAAUUUGGCUACAAGGUAUUUUUGGGAACCCGUAUAUUUGCGUCUUAUAUUUUUUUGUGAUGAAAUGACGGAAAACCGAGACGACAAUAUUUUCCGAGUCUUUAUAUGUCUUUCUUGUGAAUUCCAAUUUUUUAUGCUGAAAGUAAUGCGUUUACUCAACUCCUUUACGUCAAUUCAUCAC